CAUGAUUAGCCUAGCUAGGAUUGUUUAGAGGGUAGUCGCAGUCGCCCCAACUCCGACUUGCAAAAAACUUUGUUUUGUAAGUAGGGUGAGAAACAACUUUUUGUUGGAAACUUUAAUCUUUUUAAGAGAUUAGAGAACUGU
This 141-nucleotide non-coding RNA is filed under the name unclassified sequences. RNAcentral's name for it is "IS605-orfB-II RNA". It matches the Rfam family "IS605-orfB-II RNA". The record is from Rfam by way of RNAcentral.